ACGAACGCUGGCGGCGUGCUUAACACAUGCAAGUCGAACGGUGAAGCGCCUUCCUUUUUGGUGGGUGUGGAUGAGUGGCGAACGGGUGAGUAACACGUGAGUAACCUGCCCCCUUCUUCUGGAUAACCGCAUGAAAGUGUGGCUAAUACGGGAUAUUCUGGGUCUGUCGCAUGAUGGGUCUGGGAAAGAUAUUGUUUCGGUGGGGGCUGGGCUCGCGGCCUAUCAGCUUGUUGGUGGGGUGAUGGCCUACCAAGGCGGUGACGGGUAGCCGGCCUGAGAGGGUGGACGGUCACACUGGGACUGAGACACGGCCCAGACUCCUACGGGAGGCAGCAGUGGGGAAUAUUGCACAAUGGGCGCAAGCCUGAUGCAGCGACGCCGCGUGAGGGAUGGAGGCCUUCGGGUUGUGAACCUCUUUCGCCAGUGAAGCAGGCCUGCCUCGUUUGUGGGUGGGUUGACGGUAGCUGGAUAAGAAGCGCCGGCUAACUACGUG
Molecule: ribosomal RNA, 493 nt
Filed under: uncultured bacterium
Lineage: Bacteria
Description: partial 16S ribosomal RNA
Rfam family: Bacterial small subunit ribosomal RNA
Source: RNAcentral